Long non-coding RNA from Glycine soja, 1048 nucleotides. RefSeq lists it as uncharacterized. The record is from RefSeq and is a predicted model, not a curated record. The transcript is spliced from 5 exons. Lineage: Eukaryota; Viridiplantae; Streptophyta; Magnoliopsida; Fabales; Fabaceae.
UCGCUUCAGUGAUUUCCAAUGCCUUUUUCCUCUCCACAAUGUAAUGCCUCUUCCUCUUCCCGAAACACUCUCUUUCUCACACACACUCUCUUCUUCUUGCUAUUCCUUCCUCGUCAUGGAGACGCGAGUGUUGUCUGGCGUUGGAACCUUGUCCUCCCUCCCUCACCUCCACAAACCGCCGCGAGAGGUCGGUGCCGGACCCUCCCUCGUCGCCCCUCCCUCGUUCCCCUGUCUCCAUAACCAACCAACCAUACAUUAACACCAACACUGAACCUCGCUCGCUCGCUCUCUUCACAAUUUCGAGAUCUGAAAUCGAAACUGAAACCGAAACCGAAGAGAGAGAAAAAAAAAUGAGGGAGCCAUCGUCGGUGGGAUUCGAAGGCAACGACGCUGUUCCGCCGCAAGCUCUCCUCCAGAGACUGAAAGACUACGAUCAAGAACAUGCUUUCGCCCUCUAGUACGAGCUCUCUUACGAGGAACGCGAGUAUCUCGUCCAGGACAUUGAGAGUUUAGAUCUUUCAAGAAUUGACCGAAUUAUUCGGUGCUCGCUGCGAUCUCAAGGACUGCCGAUGGCGGCCAUUGAGCCUGUGUCGGAGAGCAGUGUGUCGACGGUGGUGGAGAGAAGUUAAGAGGAUCGAGAGAGAUGAUGGAAAAUGGGAUUGAAGGCCAUUUCUGAUGGCAAAUUAGCUGUGUUGCUUUUAUCUGGUGGCCAGGUACAUAGAACCAGAUGGACUGGAGAUGCUUCUUCAAGCCCAAAACUCCCGUCCAAACUCCACAAAAAACAAGAUUCAAGAUAUCAUCAAUUGAAAUUACGGAUGCUAUCAAAGCUGUGGAUUGGAUGAACCUAUUCAGCCAGAGCCUGAGGUAUUUGUUCCUUUAGCUUAAUUCCUUGUUAGUUGAUCCUGAUUUGGCUUUAGAAGAAUUGAUUUUCACCUAGUGACUGAUGACUUGUCGAUGUAUUUGAUAUUUGAUUACAUUCAAAAGUUGUUUUGUUCCCUAGAAUGGCAUCUAUAUUUUUAUAACUACAUAUUUGUAUGUAGCUAUUAGA